This 441-nucleotide ribosomal RNA is filed under the name uncultured bacterium. RNAcentral's name for it is "partial 16S ribosomal RNA". It matches the Rfam family "Bacterial small subunit ribosomal RNA", at positions 338 to 795 of the family's 1533-position model. The record is from RNAcentral.
CCUACGGGCGGCAGCAGUGGGGAAUAUUGGGCAAUGGGCGCAAGCCUGACCCAGCGACGCCGCGUGAGGGAAGACGGUCUUCGGAUUGUAAAGCUCUUUCAGCAGGGAAGACAAAAGGACGGUACCUGCAGAAGAAGCCACGGCUAACCACGUGCCAGCAGCCGGGGUAAUACGUAGGUGGCAAGCGUUAUCCGGAAUUACUGGGUGAAAGGGGUGCGCAGGCGGAAUGUCAAGUCAGCGGUAAAAUUUCGGGGCUCAACCCCGUCGUGCCGUUGAAACUGGCGUUCUUGAGUGAGCGAGAGGGAUGCGGAAUUCGUGGUGUAGCGGUGAAAUGCGUAGAUAUCACGCAGAACACCGAUUGCGAAGGCGGCAUCCCGGCGCUCAACUGACGCUCAUGCACGAAAGCGUGGGUAUCGAACAGGAUUAGAUACCCCUGUAGUC